This 119-nucleotide ribosomal RNA is filed under the name Helianthus annuus (common sunflower). The record is from RNAcentral. Lineage: Eukaryota; Viridiplantae; Streptophyta; Magnoliopsida; Asterales; Asteraceae.
GGUUGCGAUCAUACCAGCACUAAUGCACCGGAUCCCAUCAGAACUCCGCAAUUAAGCGUGCUUGGGCGAGAGUAGUACUAGGAUGGUGACCCCCUGGGAAGUCCUCGUGUUGCAACCCC